UUAAGCGACUAAGCGUACACGGUGGAUGCCCUGGCAGUCAGAGGCGAUGAAGGACGUGCUAAUCUGCGAUAAGCGUCGGUAAGGUGAUAUGAACCGUUAUAACCGGCGAUUUCCGAAUGGGGAAACCCAGUGUGAUUCGUCACACUAUCAUUAACUGAAUCCAUAGGUUAAUGAGGCGAACCGGGGGAACUGAAACAUCUAAGUACCCCGAGGAAAAGAAAUCAACCGAGAUUCCCCCAGUAGCGGCGAGCGAACGGGGAGGAGCCCAGAGCCUGAAUCAGUGUGUGUGUUAGUGGAAGCGUCUGGAAAGGCGCGCGAUACAGGGUGACAGCCCCGUACACAAAAAUGCACAUAUUGUGAGCUCGAUGAGUAGGGCGGGACACGUGGUAUCCUGUCUGAAUAUGGGGGGACCAUCCUCCAAGGCUAAAUACUCCUGACUGACCGAUAGUGAACCAGUACCGUGAGGGAAAGGCGAAAAGAACCCCGGCGAGGGGAGUGAAAAAGAACCUGAAACCGUGUACGUACAAGCAGUGGGAGCACGCUUAGGCGUGUGACUGCGUACCUUUUGUAUAAUGGGUCAGCGACUUAUAUUCUGUAGCAAGGUUAACCGAAUAGGGGAGCCGAAGGGAAACCGAGUCUUAACUGGGCGUUAAGUUGCAGGGUAUAGACCCGAAACCCGGUGAUCUAGCCAUGGGCAGGUUGAAGGUUGGGUAACACUAACUGGAGGACCGAACCGACUAAUGUUGAAAAAUUAGCGGAUGACUUGUGGCUGGGGGUGAAAGGCCAAUCAAACCGGGAGAUAGCUGGUUCUCCCCGAAAGCUAUUUAGGUAGCGCCUCGUGAAUUCAUCUCCGGGGGUAGAGCACUGUUUCGGCAAGGGGGUCAUCCCGACUUACCAACCCGAUGCAAACUGCGAAUACCGGAGAAUGUUAUCACGGGAGACACACGGCGGGUGCUAACGUCCGUCGUGAAGAGGGAAACAACCCAGACCGCCAGCUAAGGUCCCAAAGUCAUGGUUAAGUGGGAAACGAUGUGGGAAGGCCCAGACAGCCAGGAUGUUGGCUUAGAAGCAGCCAUCAUUUAAAGAAAGCGUAAUAGCUCACUGGUCGAGUCGGCCUGCGCGGAAGAUGUAACGGGGCUAAACCAUGCACCGAAGCUGCGGCAGCGANNNNNNNNNNNNNNNNNNNGCUUAUGCGUUGUUGGGUAGGGGAGCGUUCUGUAAGCCUGCGAAGGUGUGCUGUGAGGCAUGCUGGAGGUAUCAGAAGUGCGAAUGCUGACAUAAGUAACGAUAAAGCGGGUGAAAAGCCCGCUCGCCGGAAGACCAAGGGUUCCUGUCCAACGUUAAUCGGGGCAGGGUGAGUCGACCCCUAAGGCGAGGCCGAAAGGCGUAGUCGAUGGGAAACAGGUUAAUAUUCCUGUACUUGGUGUUACUGCGAAGGGGGGACGGAGAAGGCUAUGUUGGCCGGGCGACGGUUGUCCCGGUUUAAGCGUGUAGGCUGGUUUUCCAGGCAAAUCCGGAAAAUCAAGGCUGAGGCGUGAUGACGAGGCACUACGGUGCUGAAGCAACAAAUGCCCUGCUUCCAGGAAAAGCCUCUAAGCAUCAGGUAACAUCAAAUCGUACCCCAAACCGACACAGGUGGUCAGGUAGAGAAUACCAAGGCGCUUGAGAGAACUCGGGUGAAGGAACUAGGCAAAAUGGUGCCGUAACUUCGGGAGAAGGCACGCUGAUAUGUAGGUGAAGUCCCUUGCGGAUGGAGCUGAAAUCAGUCGAAGAUACCAGCUGGCUGCAACUGUUUAUUAAAAACACAGCACUGUGCAAACACGAAAGUGGACGUAUACGGUGUGACGCCUGCCCGGUGCCGGAAGGUUAAUUGAUGGGGUCAGCGCAAGCGAAGCUCUUGAUCGAAGCCCCGGUAAACGGCGGCCGUAACUAUAACGGUCCUAAGGUAGCGAAAUUCCUUGUCGGGUAAGUUCCGACCUGCACGAAUGGCGUAAUGAUGGCCAGGCUGUCUCCACCCGAGACUCAGUGAAAUUGAACUCGCUGUGAAGAUGCAGUGUACCCGCGGCAAGACGGAAAGACCCCGUGAACCUUUACUAUAGCUUGACACUGAACAUUGAGCCUUGAUGUGUAGGAUAGGUGGGAGGCUUUGAAGUGUGGACGCCAGUCUGCAUGGAGCCGGCCUUGAAAUACCACCCUUUAAUGUUUGAUGUUCUAACGUGGACCCGUGAUCCGGGUUGCGGACAGUGUCUGGUGGGUAGUUUGACUGGGGCGGUCUCCUCCUAAAGAGUAACGGAGGAGCACGAAGGUUGGCUAAUCCUGGUCGGACAUCAGGAGGUUAGUGCAAUGGCAUAAGCCAGCUUGACUGCGAGCGUGACGGCGCGAGCAGGUGCGAAAGCAGGUCAUAGUGAUCCGGUGGUUCUGAAUGGAAGGGCCAUCGCUCAACGGAUAAAAGGUACUCCGGGGAUAACAGGCUGAUACCGCCCAAGAGUUCAUAUCGACGGCGGUGUUUGGCACCUCGAUGUCGGCUCAUCACAUCCUGGGGCUGAAGUAGGUCCCAAGGGUAUGGCUGUUCGCCAUUUAAAGUGGUACGCGAGCUGGGUUUAGAACGUCGUGAGACAGUUCGGUCCCUAUCUGCCGUGGGCGCUGGAGAACUGAGGGGGGCUGCUCCUAGUACGAGAGGACCGGAGUGGACGCAUCACUGGUGUUCGGGUUGUCAUGCCAAUGGCACUGCCCGGUAGCUAAAUGCGGAAGAGAUAAGUGCUGAAAGCAUCUAAGCACGAAACUUGCCCCGAGAUGAGUUCUCCCUGACCCUUUAAGGGUCCUGAAGGAACGUUGAAGACGACGACGUUGAUAGGCCGGGUGUGUAAGCGCAGCGAUGCGUUGAGCUAACCGGUACUAAUGAACCGUGAGGCUUAACCUU
This 2920-nucleotide ribosomal RNA is filed under the name Shigella sonnei. RNAcentral describes it as "bacterial LSU rRNA". It matches the Rfam family "Bacterial large subunit ribosomal RNA". Lineage: Bacteria; Pseudomonadati; Pseudomonadota; Gammaproteobacteria; Enterobacterales; Enterobacteriaceae. The record is from RNAcentral.